This 253-nucleotide ribosomal RNA is filed under the name uncultured bacterium. RNAcentral's name for it is "partial 16S ribosomal RNA". It matches the Rfam family "Bacterial small subunit ribosomal RNA", at positions 524 to 776 of the family's 1533-position model. The record is from RNAcentral.
UACGUAGGGUGCGAGCGUUAAUCGGAAUUACUGGGCGUAAAGCGUGCGCAGGCGGUGGCUCAAGCCAGGCGUGAAAUCCCCGGGCUUAACCUGGGAAUGGCGUUUGGGACUGGAUCGCUAGAGUGUGGCAGAGGGAGGUGGAAUUCCACGUGUAGCAGUGAAAUGCGUAGAGAUGUGGAGGAACACCGAUGGCGAAGGCAGCCUCCUGGGCCAACAUUGACGCUCAUGCACGAAAGCGUGGGGAGCAAACAGG